CUUCUUUAUCACCGAGUGCUUGCACUCACCGAUAAAGAGUUUAGUGGCGAACGGGUGAGUAACACGUGGGCAACCUGCCCAAAAGAGGGGGAUAACACUUGGAAACAGGUGCUAAUACCGCAUAACCAUAGUUACCGCAUGGUAACUAUGUAAAAGGUGGCUAUGCUACCGCUUUUGGAUGGGCCCGCGGCGCAUUAGCUAGUUGGUGGGGUAAAGGCUUACCAAGGCAAUGAUGCGUAGCCGAACUGAGAGGUUGAUCGGCCACAUUGGGACUGAGACACGGCCCAAACUCCUACGGGAGGCAGCAGUAGGGAAUCUUCCACAACGGGCGAAAGCCUGAUGGAGCAACGCCGCGUGGGUGAAGAAGGUCUUCGGAUCGUAAAACCCUGUUGUUAGAGAAGAAAGUGCGUGAGAGUAACUGUUCACGUUUCGACGGUAUCUAACCAGAAAGCCACGGCUAACUACGUGCCAGCAGCCGCGGUAAUACGUAGGUGGCAAGCGUUAUCCGGAUUUAUUGGGCGUAAAGGGAACGCAGGCGGUCUUUUAAGUCUGAUGUGAAAGCCUUCGGCUUAACCGGAGUAGUGCAUUGGAAACUGGGAGACUUGAGUGCAGAAGAGGAGAGUGGAACUCCAUGUGUAGCGGUGAAAUGCGUAGAUAUAUGGAAGAACACCAGUGGCGAUAGCGGCUCUCUGGUCUGUAACUGACGCUGAGGCUCGAAAGCGUGGGUAGCAAACAGGAUUAGAUACCCUGGUAGUCCACGC
RNAcentral lists this ribosomal RNA (761 nucleotides) under uncultured bacterium. RNAcentral describes it as "bacterial SSU rRNA". It matches the Rfam family "Bacterial small subunit ribosomal RNA", at positions 70 to 800 of the family's 1533-position model. The record is from RNAcentral.